GACGAACGCUGGCGGCAGGCCUAACACAUGCAAGUCGAGCGAGAAGCUUACCUUCGGGUAAGUGGACAGCGGCGGACGGGUGAGUAACGCGUGGGAAUAUGCCUCAAAGUACGGAAUAGCCUUUGGAAACGAAGAGUAAUACCGUAUAGUCCGGGUAACCGGUAAAGUUUUUCGCUUUGAGAUUAGCCCGCGUCUGAUUAGAUAGUUGGUGAGGUAAUGGCUCACCAAGUCUACGAUCAGUAGCUGUUCUGAGAGGAAGAUCAGCCACACUGGAACUGAGACACGGUCCAGACUCCUACGGGAGGCAGCAGUGGGGAAUAUUGGGCAAUGGGGGAAACCCUGACCCAGCCAUGCCGCGUGAGUGAAGAAGGCCCUAGGGUCGUAAAGCUCUUUCAACUGUGAAGAUGAUGACUGUAGCAGUAGAAGAAACCCCGGCUAACUUCG
This 444-nucleotide ribosomal RNA is filed under the name uncultured Alphaproteobacteria bacterium. RNAcentral's name for it is "bacterial SSU rRNA". It matches the Rfam family "Bacterial small subunit ribosomal RNA", at positions 28 to 505 of the family's 1533-position model. The record is from RNAcentral. Lineage: Bacteria; Pseudomonadati; Pseudomonadota; Alphaproteobacteria.